CGGUUAAGUUAGAAAGGGCGCACGGUGGAUGCCUUGGCACUAGGAGCCGAUGAAGGACGGGACGAACACCGAUAUGCUUCGGGGAGCUGUAAGCAAGCUUUGAUCCGGAGAUUUCCGAAUGGGGAAACCCACCACUCGUAAUGGAGUGGUAUCCAUAUCUGAAUACAUAGGAUAUGAGAAGGCAGACCCGGGGAACUGAAACAUCUAAGUACCCGGAGGAAGAGAAAGCAAAUGCGAUUCCCUGAGUAGCGGCGAGCGAAACGGGAUCAGCCCAAACCAAGAGGCUUGCCUCUUGGGGUUGUAGGACACUCUGUACGGAGUUACAAAGGAACGAGGUAGAUGAAGAGG
This 348-nucleotide ribosomal RNA is filed under the name Bacillus velezensis. Its description in RNAcentral is "partial 23S ribosomal RNA". It matches the Rfam family "Bacterial large subunit ribosomal RNA", at positions 1 to 341 of the family's 2925-position model. Lineage: Bacteria; Bacillati; Bacillota; Bacilli; Caryophanales; Bacillaceae. The record is from RNAcentral.